Molecule: ribosomal RNA, 449 nt
Filed under: uncultured bacterium
Lineage: Bacteria
Description: partial 16S ribosomal RNA
Rfam family: Bacterial small subunit ribosomal RNA
Source: RNAcentral
AACGAACGCUGGCGGCAGGCUUAACACAUGCAAGUCGAACGCAUCCUUCGGGGUGAGUGGCAGACGGGUGAGUAACGCGUGGGAACGUGCCCUUCAGUUCGGGAUAACCCAGGGAAACUUGGGCUACUACCGGAUACGUGCGAGAGCAGAAAGAUUUAUCGCUGAAGGAUCGGCCCGCGUCUGAUUAGCUAGUUGGUGGGGUAAUGGCCCACCAAGGCGACGAUCAGUAGCUGGUCUGAGAGGAUUAUCAGCCACAUUGGGACUGAGACACGGCCCAAACUCCUACGGGGGGCAGCAGUGGGGAAUAUUGGACAAUGGGCGCAAGCCUGAUCCAGCCAUGCCGCGUGAGUGAUGAAGGCCUUAGGGUUGUAAAGCUCUUUCGUCCGGGACGAUAAUGACGGUACCGGAAGAAGAAGCCCCGGCUAACUUCGUGCCAGCCGCCGCGGUAA